CAACUAGAAACAGCAUCUAUGAAAUUUUCACCAGCUGAGUCUUAGAUCAUCCUUAAUAAAGGGGGAAAAAUCCUCUUUUCUUCAAUGGAGGACUUCUGGAAAAUAUUUGAAAAUGACUUUGAAAGCACUCAUUUUCCCCUGAAAAUUGUUCAUUUGGUGGGGAAAAAAAAAACCGUAUUUUCUAGACUGGAGGACUUCUGGAAGGACCUGCUGUGCAUUUACCAGUAUAUAAGAAAUGGGCUAUGUUCCUACAGAGCAUGAGCAUGUCCUCAAUCUGUGGUGCCUUUUCCAAUGUGCUACUUCAUCUCACAUCAUUGAUAAGAGAAAUUUGUACAGCUCCUACUAUGUGCCAGACCCUGUUCAAAUAUAGAGUAUCUCCUCUUCCUCACAGAAUGCCUCUAAGCUCUUGAAAUUCAUGUUCUAACAAGACCAUGAGCCAGCUCUUACAACCGUGUCAUGAUGUGCCAUUAUGUUCUUCACUGUUUCCUUGGCAUACUCUCAGUUGGCAUGGCUCAUCAUUGGCACUCAGUUGGAUGACUUAAGUGCCUUCCAAGAAUACAUGAAGGACCUUGGCAGUCGUCACAGAGCAUGGCCAGGCUUGACACCAGACACUGAGCAUGAUCUUCAGCAGAAUGAAGUCGGAGUCUAGUGCGGAGGGCCCACCGUGAUUGACAGUAUGGCAGCAAACCCUGAGUGGUGUGGUCUUCUGAGUUGUCGUUUCCUGCAGCCCAGUGAGAACACAGACGCAUGGAGCAUUGCACUGGCAGCAUGGUGUCCCAGUCAUAGAUGUUGAUCAUACAGCUAGAGAUCGUGGAGCUGGCCAGACUGAAGAGACAUGAGGCAUGGAAGACUGCUAGAUGCUGUGGCCAUGCCCUUAAAAACUGCCUGUUGACCGGUGGUGACAGUGAGGUCACAGGGAACAGAUGAACUGCUGGUGCAGUGCACAAAUGGUUGGAGUAUUGGAACUGAUGAUACAGUGUCCCAGUCAGGCCAUCAUCUUCAGUUGAUAGUGAAACUCAGCAGUCAGCCUUGCCCCAGAAGUCCUUCACCUCCUUCCAAUCUACAGUGGACCCAGAAGUUGGAGACGGAAAUGGAGAUGCCAGGAUCCACAUGUGGUAAUCCACUGUGUGGUCCUGAGUGAAUUUGCCAUAACAAGUACAAGUAUAUUGUUUAUGCCUGAUAAUCAUAUGAUGCUGGUCUUUAUAACUAAUUAUUAAUCUUCUGCACUUGAUUUUAUUUUCCAUAAACUGUACCCAUGGAUGAAAGAAGAUUUAAAAACAAAACGAAACAAAAACUACUUUUCUUCAUGUAACAGAUCUAGAUUUUGAAAUAUUGAACCAAGAAAAAAAAGACAAAAAAACUGGAAAGUAUGUUGAGAAGUACGCCCAAUUGCUGCCCUGCCUAAUUCUUUUCAGGUGACAAUGAAGUAGCUUUUAAAGCUUGAACUAUAAAGGACUCCUGAGUACACUUCCAGCCACAAGUCAGCACUGCCGUUUUUAGCCAGCGUGUAGAAGAAAAGGAGGGCAUUUCUUCCCAUGCUGAUGGAACUAUGUGGUUGUUCAUUUCAGGUGUCCUCUACUGCUAAACUUUAAACUAUACUGAUAAACCAUAGUGUGGCCAUGUCCCCAUUGUGCUGGAGUUUGUAUGAAUAGUUAAGAUGUUUACUGCACUGUUUUGUUUUGUUUUUUUUCUUUGUUUUUUGUUUUGUCUACUUUCUCAUAGCUUUUGGGACUAACUGUAUUACUUGGUUUUCUCAUGUUUGUGGGACUGACUGUAUUACUUGGUUUUCAUAUUGUUUUAACUCUAUAAAAUGGCCCCAGAAAAUCUCCAAAUAGUGUCUCUAACUACAACAAAGGAGAAUUGUAUGGUUCCUUAAAUUCAAUUUAAAUUCAAACAAACUAAUUCAACAGUUUGUUUAGUGUGAAUAUUUUCAUCUCUUUUUUAUGUCUCAAUUUAUUUGAAACGCAAUAUUAAAAGCUAUCUAGUAGAACCAACUUAUUAAAUGUUACUUUAGUGUGCAGUGAAAUAUUCAGUUAAGCAAAUGUUUAAGAAAGAUACUUUGACUGUUUUGAAAUUCAUUAUGAAUCAUAAACCAAAACUCAUUUCAUAGUAUUUCAGACACACGGUCUCAUAUAUUCUUGGUCCAGUAUGUCAGAAUAGAAUUUGUAAUACAAAUAAAGUUUGCUUUAAUUAAAAGGGUUUUUUUUGCUGCAAGUCCCAUCUAUUGUCAGAAAGCAUCAGGUAGAGUUAGCAUUAGUAGUAGUUGUUUUCAUUAGAAGAUGGAGGCUUUCACUAAUGUUGUUUGUAACAAAUCUAUUCUCAUAAGAGGGUUUUGUUUUCCAAACACACAACACAGUACGAUUCUCUGAGAUCUGAAGGGAUAUGAAAGAUACAGUUCAGGGCUGGUGGUUUACCCUCAGCUGUAGAACCAGUUCAGAAACCCUGUUUUUAGUGUUGUGUCUUACAUUCUUGUGUUCACUUGAUUACUAGACUAUGUCAGUCCUGUCUCCAGUGAAAACAGGGGCCAACAAGUCUUUCAGAGUCAGUUAAUGAACAAAAUAUACUGAUUUUUAAACAGGUUCUUCAUAUGAUUUCAUCUCUUAUCUCUUUUUUGAGUAUGCAGAACAAGUUCUUUCUUCCUAGGUGGUAAAGUUUGUGUUCCAGGCAUAUUGAGUUUAUAUAUUAUGUGUACCCUGUUGUUAAAUGAAAACAAGUUUCAACUUGAAGUGUAGCCAUUAUGCGGUAUCCAUGUAUACUGACCAUGCACCACAUAUCCAUUGCAGUCCCUAGAGAGUAUUUAUGAUUCAUAUUAUAUACUGUGUUUUAUUAUACUUAUAAGAUUGUACAACCUUCUUUCAUAUUACCCAUGAGCCCCAUCUGUUUGUUUUUUGGUUUGUUUGGGUUUUUUUCUUCUUGAGUCAAGAAUAAAGUUUAAUCCCUUUACUGUACCUUGCCCUCAGUUGGUAUAAUUAGGAAGUGAAUUGUUCAAAUCUCCACAAUUAAGAGUUUCAGAGUUUGUGAUACUGGUCACUUGACUUAAUAAAGACUAGAUUAUAUGAACAGAAAAA
Peromyscus eremicus (cactus mouse) is the source of this 3068-nucleotide long non-coding RNA. RefSeq lists it as uncharacterized. The record is from RefSeq and is a predicted model, not a curated record. NCBI's taxonomy places the organism in Eukaryota, Metazoa, Chordata, Mammalia, Rodentia, Cricetidae. The transcript has 8 exons.